AACAAACCCACCUCCAAGAGUCUUCUCCCAGACUCCAGCCUUGAGGAUGAGGACUCCAGCCACAGCCUCCUCAAGAAGUUUGAAGUCUGCAUUGAACUCAUUAAUUUCCAGCUUUUGGCCGGGCGUGGUGGCUCAUGACUAUAAUUCCAGCACUUUAGGAGGCCAAGGUGGGCGGAUCACCUGAGGUCAGGAGUUUGUGACCAGCCUCACCUACAUGAUGGGGCCCAUGAGUGAGGAGGACAAGAGAGAAAGGAGAAGUUUGGGUGUAAAUCCCAGAGAUUGUUCAUCAUGUGAGAGGAGCCGUGCAUGCAUUUCAUGCCAUACUCACACCAUGGAUGGAGAAAAAAAAUCAAGCUUCACUUUCUGAGAAUGGCCCUGGGGGCACUGCAUCUAGUGCCUGUGCAUCUGCAGACCUGCCGGAUGCCUCCAGGGGAAUCAUGCCACCCCAAGCAAGAAAGGGCCCAGUUGCCAGGAGCCUGGAGGCAGAGAGCUGAGGAGCCAGCCCCUGACAUCAGAAUGGAGCUCAAAGGUUGGCUGGGUGUGACUCUGCCGUGGACAGCUUCUCUUGGGAAAUCUACUUUAAUGAAUCCAGGGGACCAAUUUGUAAUCAGCCCAUCAGAUGUUCAGCGACACUUAGCUGGAAUCUCGUUGCUGGACUCUGUGCCCCGCAGUGGAUGACAGUUCUCCAUCAGGGUCUGCAGUCCUCUACCCUGGACUUGCUGCAUCCUGGAGCCCCCAGCAGUCAGGUACCGGCUCUCAGAACUGCCUGCAUCCCAUUGGCCUGAGCUGCUGUCUGCCAGGGCUGCUGGUAACCAGGCCCACAGGGUUGGAUAUUCCCCCAACAGGGCAGCUCCCAGUCCAAGCCCAACUGUUACCAGCCCAGAAAGAUGUUUCAGGAUACCCCUUUCCUCCCCACUUCCCUGCCCUCUGCAGCUCCAGCUGGUGCACCCCAUCUUUCUCUCCCCCUCCCUGCUAGGCUGGGCCCUAACAGGAGACCUUUGAGGUGGUUGGGCUUGUUCUGCAACCUUGAGUACCCUUGAGCUACUGCCUCACUCCUCAGUUUUCUUCUUCUUAAGGUUUCUAAUUGGACUUUGCCAGUGUAUUUAUUUCAAAACUGGUCAUCUUACUGACCUCGCUCAUAGUCUCUUAUUACUUUUCUAGUUGAUUCUCUUGAGUUUUCUGGAUAAACAAUAAUAUCAUGUACAAAUAAUGAUGACAAUU
This 1221-nucleotide long non-coding RNA is filed under the name Homo sapiens (human). RNAcentral's name for it is "non-protein coding INSYN1-AS1:26". Lineage: Eukaryota; Metazoa; Chordata; Mammalia; Primates; Hominidae. The record is from RNAcentral.